RNAcentral lists this ribosomal RNA (253 nucleotides) under uncultured bacterium. RNAcentral's name for it is "partial 16S ribosomal RNA". It matches the Rfam family "Bacterial small subunit ribosomal RNA", at positions 524 to 776 of the family's 1533-position model. The record is from RNAcentral.
UACAGAGGUCCCAAGCGUUGUUCGGAUUCAUUGGGCGUAAAGGGUGCGUAGGUGGCAUGGUAAGUCGGGUGUGAAAUCCCGGGGCUCAACCCCGGAACUGCACUCGAUACUGCCGUGCUCGAGUACUGGAGAGGAGACUGGAAUUUACGGUGUAGCAGUGAAAUGCGUAGAUAUCGUAAGGAAGGCCGGUGGCGAAAGCGAGCCUCUGGACAGUUACUGACGCUGAUGCACGAAGGCCAGGGGAGCAAACGGG